This 820-nucleotide long non-coding RNA is filed under the name Pan paniscus (pygmy chimpanzee). Its description in RNAcentral is "lncRNA (ENSPPAG00000045092.1)". Lineage: Eukaryota; Metazoa; Chordata; Mammalia; Primates; Hominidae. The record is from RNAcentral.
CCUUGCUCAAAAACAAAGUAACUUCUCUGUCAACCAAAGAAAGAAUAGAAGCAUACAAUGCCGAAUGGAAUACAAAGCCCAUAGUUUCAAAUAGAGGCAGAGACAGCUGGACAUUUGAGUCCUACAGGGAAAAGGAACCCCAAACCAUCCGUGCAUGCAUAUGUGGGGUGGGGGUGAUGGGUGGAAUAUUUAAUCAGUGUUUGUAAAGGUUGAAUUUAUAGGUUCUUUUACAAGAAAGAAGAGAGCUGCUUGGAGCUAAAUACCCCGAAGCAAAUAACCUACUGGAGAUGAAUAGAAGCUCUCUGCUGUAGAUGGGGUUUUCCUUCAUCCUGUCUACAUCACGUUUUUGUCAUUUGCCUCACAUCUAUAGCCUUUGGACUUCUCAUCUCUGCCAAAGAAACGUGGGCCAGAUGCUCCUUGAAGAAAGACUGCGACUGUGCAUGUCAACCACUACUUCUCAUACUGAAGCCUAGGAAGAAAUGUCAGAACUGGCCAAGGGAAGCUGACACCCUGCGAAACACACCCAGAUCCUGCUUUCCUAGGACAGAAAAAAUGACCUCUGGCCUCUCUUUGCAAACUUUAGUUAAGAGUUGGGAGUAAGAGAUUCAUGACCACCAAGAAAGGUAAGUUACUCACAUAUGUAUAGAUACAAUACUCUUAUUUUGUGCUCUUUUUUCUCCAAUCUUCAAUAAAUCACCUAAAAUAUAAUAAGACUUCUGUGCAGCCCGAUGGAGUAAACACUUCUGGAAUAAUUUUUCCUUCCCCAUUUCUCCAACAUCUUUCUUAUGACAUUUUUUUUUCCGAAAUUCAUUGGUCCUUG